Molecule: ribosomal RNA, 548 nt
Filed under: uncultured Enterococcus sp.
Lineage: Bacteria; Bacillati; Bacillota; Bacilli; Lactobacillales; Enterococcaceae
Description: bacterial LSU rRNA
Rfam family: Bacterial large subunit ribosomal RNA
Source: RNAcentral
CGGCCGCGUCGACGUUAGGCAAAUCCGGCAUGCAUUAAGGCUGAGUGGUGAUGGGGAGCCGAAAAUAGUAGGCGAAGCAUAUGGACUCACACUGCCAAGAAAAGCUUCUAGCAAGUAAUCAUACUACCCGUACCGUAAACCGACACAGGUAGUUGGGAAGAGAAUUCUAAGGUGAGCGAGCGAACUCUCGUUAAGGAACUCGGCAAAAUGACCCCGUAACUUCGGGAGAAGGGGUGCUUAUAGCAAUAUAAGCCGCAGUGAAUAGGCCCAAGCGACUGUUUACCAAAAACACAGGUCUCUGCCAAACCGAAAGGUGAAGUAUAGGGGCUGACGCCUGCCCGGUGCUGGAAGGUUAAGAGGAGUGCUUAGCGCAAGCGAAGGUACGAAUUGAAGCCCCAGUAAACGGCGGCCGUAACAAUAACGGUCCUAAGGUAGCGAAAUUCCUUGUCAGGUAAGUUCUGACCCGCACGAAAGGCGUAACGAUUUGGGCACUGUCUCAACGAGAGGCUCGGUGAAAUCAUAGUACCUGUGAGGAUGCAGGUUACCCG